RNAcentral lists this ribosomal RNA (253 nucleotides) under uncultured bacterium. RNAcentral's name for it is "partial 16S ribosomal RNA". It matches the Rfam family "Bacterial small subunit ribosomal RNA", at positions 524 to 776 of the family's 1533-position model. The record is from RNAcentral.
CACGUAGGGCGCAAGCGUUGUCCGGAAUUAUUGGGCGUAAAGAGCUCGUAGGCGGUCUGUCGCGUCGGAUGUGAAAACCCAGGGCUCAACCCUGGGCCUGCAUUCGAUACGGGCAGACUAGAGUUCGGUAGGGGAGACUGGAAUUCCUGGUGUAGCGGUGAAAUGCGCAGAUAUCAGGAGGAACACCGGUGGCGAAGGCGGGACUCUGGGCCGAUACUGACGCUGAGGAGCGAAAGCGUGGGGAGCGAACAGG